CUUCCUUCAGGAAGCUAGAUAGCUUCUGGCUUCUUUGCUAAAGUCGUAUUUCUUAAGUAACUAACUGCUCUUGUUUCUCUUAACAGAUGACUCCUUUUUUCUCCGUUGCAGGCGUGUGAGAAAGAUUUGCACUCUUUCGUAAGUGAGAACAUCUGAAACAGGGACAGACAUCAAGAUUGGUUUUGGGAACAACAAAACUGUCAUCUUCCAAGAUCCAGCCUCCUGACCACAGGGUGUGCUGUCUGAUCCAUCCAUUUAUAAUCUUCUGAAUCCAUUCAGUUUUACAGAAGUAUAUCUCUUGCAAAUUUAAGAACAAAGACAAAGGAAAGUCUGGACCUCCAGGUCACUGCAACGAGAUCAGCGUGAGAGGAGAUCGUGGACUGCUGGAUAUUUUCCCACUGAGGGUUUCAGGCGUCUUCCUCUUCUUAUGACUGAGGAUGGCAGCUGAGCCAUGGGAGCCUUUGCUGUGGAUGAGGCCAGGCAGAAGGACUCCAGGACAGCUAGGACCUCUCUGGUCUUCCAGAAAUGUUCUGCACAGCUCCCCACGGACACAUGGCUGCCCUCUGGGA
This is a long non-coding RNA of Oxyura jamaicensis (ruddy duck), 569 nucleotides long. RefSeq lists it as uncharacterized. The record is from RefSeq and is a predicted model, not a curated record. NCBI's taxonomy places the organism in Eukaryota, Metazoa, Chordata, Aves, Anseriformes, Anatidae. The transcript has 3 exons.